This 1074-nucleotide ribosomal RNA is filed under the name Salmonella enterica subsp. enterica serovar Typhimurium. Its description in RNAcentral is "bacterial LSU rRNA". It matches the Rfam family "Bacterial large subunit ribosomal RNA", at positions 1464 to 2518 of the family's 2925-position model. The record is from RNAcentral. Lineage: Bacteria; Pseudomonadati; Pseudomonadota; Gammaproteobacteria; Enterobacterales; Enterobacteriaceae.
AAGGGGGGACGGAGAAGGCUAUGUUGGCCGGGCGACGGUUGUCCCGGUUUAAGCGUGUAGGUGUGUGUUCCAGGUAAAUCCGGUUCACUUUAACACUGAGGCGUGACGACGAGGCACUACGGUGCUGAAGCAACAAAUGCCCUGCUUCCAGGAAAAGCCUCUAAGCAUCAGGUAACAUCAAAUCGUACCCCAAACCGACACAGGUGGUCAGGUAGAGAAUACCAAGGCGCUUGAGAGAACUCGGGUGAAGGAACUAGGCAAAAUGGUGCCGUAACUUCGGGAGAAGGCACGCUGACACGUAGGUGAAGUGAUUUACUCAUGGAGCUGAAGUCAGUCGAAGAUACCAGCUGGCUGCAACUGUUUAUUAAAACACAGCACUGUGCAAACACGAAAGUGGACGUAUACGGUGUGACGCCUGCCCGGUGCCGGAAGGUUAAUUGAUGGGGUCAGCGCAAGCGAAGCUCCUGAUCGAAGCCCCGGUAAACGGCGGCCGUAACUAUAACGGUCCUAAGGUAGCGAAAUUCCUUGUCGGGUAAGUUCCGACCUGCACGAAUGGCGUAAUGAUGGCCAGGCUGUCUCCACCCGAGACUCAGUGAAAUUGAACUCGCUGUGAAGAUGCAGUGUACCCGCGGCAAGACGGAAAGACCCCGUGAACCUUUACUAUAGCUUGACACUGAACAUUGAGCCUUGAUGUGUAGGAUAGGUGGGAGGCUUUGAAGUGUGGACGCCAGUCUGCAUGGAGCCGACCUUGAAAUACCACCCUUUAAUGUUUGAUGUUCUAACGUGGACCCGUAAUCCGGGUUGCGGACAGUGUCUGGUGGGUAGUUUGACUGGGGCGGUCUCCUCCUAAAGAGUAACGGAGGAGCACGAAGGUUGGCUAAUCCUGGUCGGACAUCAGGAGGUUAGUGCAAUGGCAUAAGCCAGCUUGACUGCGAGCGUGACGGCGCGAGCAGGUGCGAAAGCAGGUCAUAGUGAUCCGGUGGUUCUGAAUGGAAGGCCAUCGCUCAACGGAUAAAAGGUACUCCGGGGAUAACAGGCUGAUACCGCCCAAGAGUUCAUAUCGACGGCGGUGUU